CCCCUUUUCCUUUUCAGCCCUGGCGGAUUUGAAAGGGGCAAGACAGGCAGUUUAGAAAGAAACAAGCCUGACUCCUCGCUGAGUGCUCUUUGCCCUGGCCGAUGUAGAUACGGGCUGCUUUCAUUUUACGCAAUCGGUGAGGAAACUAAGGCACAUCUAAGAAGAUGAUCUGCCCAAGGCCACAUUAUGAGUUUAUCAACAAAAAUCUUCAGCCCUUCCAGAAUUGGGGAUGCUGAAUGUGACUUUAAGCCCUCCCUGAAGCCUUGGCAUGGAGUUCCUAGGAAGAACACUGACCUGGAGCAUGAGCACUGCCCUGAAACUGCAAUGUAAGGAAGACCAUCUGACCUGUAGGACAACGUGAGACAACAAGGAGAACCAAGGCAACCCUGCUGACAGCCAGAACCAACCACCGAACCUGCGUGUGAGGGCAUCUUGGACCUUCCAGCCUACCUUCCAGUUGAAUGCAGUGGCAUGAGUGAGCCAAGUGUCACCAGGAGAGGAACCAUCCAGUAAACCCGUAAACCAUGAAAGAUAAGAAACUGCUGUUGUUUUAUACCAACAACUUCGGGGGUGACUGGUUACAGAGCAAUACAUAACUAUUAGAAUACUUCACAAGAUUCAUUAAAAUUAUCAAAAGAAUGAUGGUCAAGAAAGGGUAAGGAUCAAGGACUAAGUCUUGGACACUCUGGCAUAUAGCCAAUAUCUGUAUUACAUGCAUAUUAUAUUGAAAUUUGGCUAUAUUAUUGGAAAAACAUGUUUAGUUAAAGACAGCUAUGGAAAUGAUUAUCUAGAAUUCCAAAAUGUUAAGCAAAUGUGAUGAUUUACAGUGAUAAUGUAACCCUGUGUUUGCAUCUGUUGCCUCACAAACCCUAACGUGUUUGCAAAUGGGAAAACAUACAACGUUUAUUGUUGAAAUUUAUAUCUAUCAAUCUAUCUCUAUAUAUCUAUAUAGAUAUAUAUAUCUCACAGUGACUGAUACUAUAGUGUGUAUACUACAAACUCUGUUGUAGAAAACCAAGGAACUAAUGAUAAACAAGGAGAUGUGGCUGUAUGCCAUAAUGAAA
Camelus dromedarius (Arabian camel) is the source of this 1064-nucleotide long non-coding RNA. RefSeq lists it as uncharacterized. NCBI's taxonomy places the organism in Eukaryota, Metazoa, Chordata, Mammalia, Artiodactyla, Camelidae. The record is from RefSeq and is a predicted model, not a curated record. The transcript is spliced from 4 exons.